ACUCAAAUGAAUUGACGGGGGCCCGCACAAGCGGUGGAGUAUGUGGCUUAAUUCGAUGCAACGCGAAGAACCUUACCUGGGUUUGACAUGCACGUAGUAGAAGCUUGAAAGAGUAACGAGGUAGCAAUAUCAGCGUGGACAGGUGCUGCAUGGCUGUCGUCAGCUCGUGUCGUGAGAUGUUGGGUUAAGUCCCGCAACGAGCGCAACCCUCAUGAUUAUUUGCCCGCAAGGGAUCUAUAGUCAGACUGCCCUGUUUAACGGGGAGGAAGGUGGGGACGACGUCAAGUCAGGAUGGCCCUUAUAUCCAGGGCUGCACACGUACUACAAUGGCGAGUACAGAAGGAUGCAAGACCGCAAGGUGGAGCUAAUCCCAAAAACUCGCCUCAGUUCAGAUUAUAGGCUGCAACUCGCCUAUAUGAAGUUGGAAUCGCUAGUAAUGGCGCAUCAGCAUUUGGCGCCGUGAAUACGUUCCCGGGCCUUGUACACACCGCCCGU
RNAcentral lists this ribosomal RNA (495 nucleotides) under uncultured bacterium. RNAcentral describes it as "partial 16S ribosomal RNA". It matches the Rfam family "Bacterial small subunit ribosomal RNA", at positions 899 to 1397 of the family's 1533-position model. The record is from RNAcentral.